UGGGGAAUUUUGGACAAUGGGCGAAAGCCUGAUCCAGCAAUGCCGCGUGUGUGAAGAAGGCCUUCGGGUUGUAAAGCACUUUUGUCCGGAAAGAAAUCCUUGGCUCUAAUACAGUCGGGGGAUGACGGUACCGGAAGAAUAAGCACCGGCUAACUACGUGCCAGCAGCCGCGGUAAUACGUAGGGUGCAAGCGUUAAUCGGAAUUACUGGGCGUAAAGCGUGCGCAGGCGGUUUGCUAAGACCGAUGUGAAAUCCCCGGGCUCAACCUGGGAACUGCAUUGGUGACUGGCAGGCUAGAGUAUGGCAGAGGGGGGUAGAAUUCCACGUGUAGCAGUGAAAUGCGUAGAGAUGUGGAGGAAUACCGAUGGCGAAGGCAGCCCCCUGGGCCAAUACUGACGCUCAUGCACGAAAGCGUGGGGAGCAAACAGGAUUAGAUACCCUGGGUAGUCCACGCCCUAAACGAUGUCAACUAGUUGUUGGGGAUUCAUUUCCUUAGUAACGUAGCUAACGCGUGAAGUUGACCGCCUGGGGAGUACGGUCGCAAGAUUAAAACUCAAAUGAAUUGACGGGGUCAUAGCUGUUUCCU
This 586-nucleotide ribosomal RNA is filed under the name uncultured bacterium. Its description in RNAcentral is "partial 16S ribosomal RNA". It matches the Rfam family "Bacterial small subunit ribosomal RNA", at positions 355 to 1375 of the family's 1533-position model. The record is from RNAcentral.